Molecule: ribosomal RNA, 402 nt
Filed under: uncultured bacterium
Lineage: Bacteria
Description: bacterial SSU rRNA
Rfam family: Bacterial small subunit ribosomal RNA
Source: RNAcentral
UAGGAAUCAUGCGCAAUGGGCGAAAGCCUGACGCUGCAACGCCGCGUGAAGGAUGAAGGCCCUCGGGUUGUAAACUUCUUUUAUGUGGGAACAAGUUCUGAGUGUACCACACGAAUAAGCAGCUUCUAACUACGUGCCAGAAGAAUCGGUGAUGCGUAGGCUGCAAGCGUUAUCCGGAAUCACUGGGCGUAAAGAGAUGCGUAGGCGUCCUCUUAAGUUACUUGUUAAAUCCUUCAGCUUAACUGAAGACAAGCAAGUGAUACUGGGAGGAUUGAGAGUAUCAGGGGAAAGGGGAACACCUGGUGGAGUGGUGAAAUACGUUGAUAUCAGGUGGAACACCAAUGGCGAAGGCACCUUUCUGGGAUAUUUCUGACGCUAAGGCUCGAAAGCUAGGGUAGCAAA